UUAACUUAGCGGCGGACGGGUGAGUAACACGUAGGCAACCUGCCCCAUAGCCUGGGAUAACUACCGGAAACGGUAGCUAAUACCGGAUAAUUUCUUUUUUCUCCUGAAGAGAGAAUGAAAGACGGAGCAAUCUGUCACUACGGGAUGGGCCUGCGGCGCAUUAGCUAGUUGGUGAGGUAACGGCUCACCAAGGCGACGAUGCGUAGCCGACCUGAGAGGGUGAACGGCCACACUGGGACUGAGACACGGCCCAGACUCCUACGGGAGGCAGCAGUAGGGAAUCUUCCGCAAUGGGCGAAAGCCUGACGGAGCAACGCCGCGUGAGUGAUGAAGGUUUUCGGAUCGUAAAGCUCUGUUGCCAGGGAAGAACGUCCGGUAGAGUAACUGCUGCCGGAGUGACGGUACCUGAGAAGAAAGCCCCGGCUAACUACGUGCCAGCAGCCGCGGUAAUACGUAGGGGGCAAGCGUUGUCCGGAAUUAUUGGGCGUAAAGCGCGCGCAGGCGGCGAUUUAAGUCUGGUGUUUAAACCUUGGGCUCAACCUGGGGUCGCACUGGAAACUGGAUCGCUUGAGUACAGAAGAGGAAAGUGGAAUUCCACGUGUAGCGGUGAAAUGCGUAGAGAUGUGGAGGAACACCAGUGGCGAAGGCGACUUUCUGGGCUGUAACUGACGCUGAGGCGCGAAAGCGUGGGGAGCAAACAGGAUUAGAUCCCCCCCUGGUAGUCUACGCCGUAAACGAUGAGUGCUCCGGUUGUUAGGGGUUUCGAUACCCUUGGUGCCGAAGUUAACACAGUAAGCACUCCGCCUGGGGAGUACGGUCGCAAGACUGAAACUCAAAGGAAUUGACGGGGACCCGCACAAGCAGUGGAGUACGUGGUUUAAUUCUAAGCAACGCCACGAACCUCACCAGGUCUUGACAUCCCUCUGAAUCCUCUAGAGAUAGAGGCCGCCUUCCUGACAUUUUAUUCAGGUUGUGCAUUUUUUUCCUCAUCUCU
RNAcentral lists this ribosomal RNA (994 nucleotides) under Paenibacillus sp. BAB-4175. RNAcentral describes it as "bacterial SSU rRNA". It matches the Rfam family "Bacterial small subunit ribosomal RNA", at positions 87 to 1062 of the family's 1533-position model. The record is from RNAcentral. Lineage: Bacteria; Bacillati; Bacillota; Bacilli; Caryophanales; Paenibacillaceae.